CUCAUUUCCAGUAGUUAUAAAAGUGGUCUUAAAACAAUAGCUAUACCAAGAGAAAGGGAAUGUAACACUCUCCACUCAAGUUUACUUGGAAAACUUAUUGGAAGGAAUUAUACAUUAAAUUGAUGAAUAAAUAGUUUGAUACCAUUUUUAUAAUGGAAUAUUCUUACUCCAUUAAAAUUCUGAAAUUUGAGGCUGCCUCAUGAAUAAAAAUCACUCAGCCAUCUGAGCAAAUUAAGAAAAAAGUCGACCGUAUUAAUGGUGUGUUUGCAUCUGCUACGUUUGUUAGCGUGAAGGUAAUCGGACAAGAGCAAAAAUGGGUGGAUCAGACUG
Molecule: long non-coding RNA, 330 nt
Filed under: Bos taurus (domestic cattle)
Lineage: Eukaryota; Metazoa; Chordata; Mammalia; Artiodactyla; Bovidae
Description: long non-coding RNA NONBTAT019280
Source: RNAcentral